AGGACUUUCUCCUCAGGCUGCUAAAGGACCUUAUUAAUAAGCAGACCUGGACAGAUGAAGGCUCUGUCUCAGAGAGGAUGCUCAGGAGCCAGCUCUUACUCCUAGCAUGUGUGCACAGGUAUCAGCUCUGCGUGCAGAGGGCAGAGCGCUAUUUCAGAGAGUGGAAGGCAUCCAAUGGAAACAUGAGCCUCCCUAUUGAUGUGACCUUGGCGGUGUUUGCUGUUGGGGCCCAGAACACAGAAGGCUGGGAUUUUCUUUAUAGUAAAUAUCAGUCUUCUUUGUCUAGUACCGAGAAAAGCCAAAUUGAAUUUUCCCUCUGCAUAAGCCAAGACCCAGAAAAACUUCAGUGGCUUCUAGACCAAAGUUUUAAGGGAGAGAUAAUAAAAACUCAGGAAUUCCCACAUAUUCUCACGCUCAUUGGCAGAAACCCAGUGGGUUAUCCAUUGGCCUGGAAGUUUCUGAAGGAAAAUUGGAACAAGAUUGUACAGAAAUUUGAACUUGGCUCAUCAUCCAUAGCUCACAUGGUAAUGGGAACAACAAACCAGUUUUCCACCAGAGCACGUCUUGAAGAGUCUACUUUUUUCCCCCAAGGUAAAAGGAUUCUUCAGCUCCUUGAAAAAAAAUGGUUCUCAGCUCCGUUGUGUUCAACAAACCAUUGAAACCAUUGAAGAAAACAUACGAUGGAUGGAUAAAAAUUUUGAUAAAAUAAGACUGUGGCUUCAAAAAGAAAGGCAGGAGUUGCUGUGACAAUUUGUUUCAUACCAAGUUCCUGAAUUUAUAAUUAGUAAAAUUUUCUUCAAUUUG
This 804-nucleotide long non-coding RNA is filed under the name Rattus norvegicus (Norway rat). RNAcentral describes it as "long non-coding RNA NONRATT014854". The record is from RNAcentral. Lineage: Eukaryota; Metazoa; Chordata; Mammalia; Rodentia; Muridae.